This 256-nucleotide ribosomal RNA is filed under the name uncultured Glomus. RNAcentral describes it as "partial 18S ribosomal RNA". It matches the Rfam family "Eukaryotic small subunit ribosomal RNA", at positions 624 to 884 of the family's 1831-position model. Lineage: Eukaryota; Fungi; Glomeromycota; Glomeromycetes; Glomerales; Glomeraceae. The record is from RNAcentral.
AAGCUCGUAAGUUGAAUUUCGGGAUUAGUACGUCGGUCGUGCCUUAGGUACGUACCGGUGUUACUGGUUCCUACCUUCUGACGAACCAUCAUGUCAUUAAUUUGGUGUGGUGGGGAAUCAGGACUGUUACUUUGAAAAAAUUAGAGUGUUUAAAGCAGGCUCGCGCUUGAAUACAUUAGCAUGGAAUAAUGAAAUAGGACGUUGAUCCUAUUUUGUUGGUUUCUAGGAUUGACGUAAUGAUUAAUAGGAUGUUGGG